RNAcentral lists this unclassified non-coding RNA (317 nucleotides) under Psathyrella sulcatotuberculosa. RNAcentral's name for it is "partial internal transcribed spacer region". The stretch from base 1 to 46 matches the Rfam family "Eukaryotic small subunit ribosomal RNA", at positions 1786 to 1831 of the family's 1831-position model. The record is from RNAcentral. Lineage: Eukaryota; Fungi; Basidiomycota; Agaricomycetes; Agaricales; Psathyrellaceae.
AAGUCGUAACAAGGUUUCCGUAGGUGAACCUGCGGAAGGAUCAUUAACGAAUAUCUAUAGCGUUGGUUGUAGCUGGCUCCUAGGAGCAUUUGUGCACGCCCGUCAUUUAUAUCAUCUUUCCACCUGUGAACUAUGUGUAGGUCUGGAUACCUCUCGCUUUGGUGACAAGGCGGAUGCAAGGAUUGCUGCCAAGCUCUCUUUGAAUUUCCAGGUCUAUGUUUUUUACACACUCCAUUUGAAUGACGUAGAAUGUAGUCAAUGGGCUUUCAAGCCUAUAAAAAACUAUACAACUUUCAGCAACGGAUCUCUUGGCUCUC